RNAcentral lists this long non-coding RNA (609 nucleotides) under Oryzias javanicus (javanese ricefish). RNAcentral's name for it is "lncRNA (ENSOJAG00000018086.1)". Lineage: Eukaryota; Metazoa; Chordata; Actinopteri; Beloniformes; Adrianichthyidae. The record is from RNAcentral.
AUGUUAAUGUCGACUGACGUUGCUUCCAUUAUGCUGCCCGUGUCCCGGGCUCUCAUAGACCGGGACAGAGAGCUGGACACCAUGCCCGGGGUGCAUCCCAACCCGGGCGGCGCUCCCGCAGCCCUCCGAGGCAUGAAGCGCGGGGACCCGGAGCCCGACGCGCAGACGGCGGUCACGCUGGUGGACUCCAGCGGGGCAGAGUGCAAGCGCCCACGCAUCGACGGCUCGGGAGGGCUUGGCGAGGUCGGCCAGAAUAACGACCCGUUGACUCUCGGUUACCACGGAUACCCAACUCACAGUCAGGGCUCUCAGGAUAGUGCUGGCGGUCAGGAGGGACUGGUACCUCCACCUUUCUCUGCGUUCCCACCUCCCCCUCCACCACCACCGCAGAACGGCCUAACCUUAGACUACGGGGGCAGUCUCUACGCGACGGGGGCCGUUCAGGGCCGGUGGAGGCCGGCGGAGUGGGAAACGGCGUGGUCAACCCUGCCAACAGCCUCAGCGCUCAAGUAAGUGCCAGCCUGAUCUCCGGUGUGCCGCCCACAUCUGGGCUCUGCCUGGAGACAGCAGCCCACAGAGUGUGCCACUUUUUUUUUUUUUUAGCUGCAC